This 450-nucleotide ribosomal RNA is filed under the name uncultured bacterium. RNAcentral's name for it is "partial 16S ribosomal RNA". It matches the Rfam family "Bacterial small subunit ribosomal RNA", at positions 338 to 795 of the family's 1533-position model. The record is from RNAcentral.
CCUACGGGUGGCUGCAGUAAGGAAUAUUGGUCAAUGGGCGCAAGCCUGAACCAGCCAUGCCGCGUGAAGGAUGACGGCCCUAUGGGUUGUAAACUUCUUUUGUACGGGAAAAAACCUCUGGUCGUGAAUCAGAGCUGAUGGUACCGUAAGAAUAAGCAUCGGCUAACUCCGUGCCAGCAGCCGCGGUACUACGGAGGAUGCAAGCUUUUUCGGGAUUAAUUGGGUGUAGGCGGAAUAAUAAGUGAAUAGUGAAAGCCUACAGCUUAACUGUAGAACUGCCAUUGAUACUGUUAUUCUUGAGUGUUGUUGAGGUAGGCGGAAUGUGUCAUGUAGCGGUGAAAUGCUUAGAUAUGACACAGAACACCGAUCGCGAAGGCAGCUUACCAAGCAACAACUGACGCUCAUGCACGAAAGCGUGGGGAUCAAACAGGAUUAGAUACCCCGGUAGUC